Molecule: long non-coding RNA, 1317 nt
Organism: Oncorhynchus mykiss (rainbow trout)
Lineage: Eukaryota; Metazoa; Chordata; Actinopteri; Salmoniformes; Salmonidae
Source: Ensembl
AUGGACAUGGGAGGAGGUUAUGGCAGGGAUUCUGCCAUGAAAGCAGGCGGAGGCAGCGCAGGAGGACCAAUGGUGACUCCGAAGUUCACGACCAAGAAGGAAGCCCGAGAGGCAGCCCCCCCCAUUUUUUGGGGGCGGGGGCACACGGGUUGGUUGCCGAAGCCAAGGGGAGAGUUUGAGAGCGAAAAGGAGUAUUGGGAUAGACUGAGUGAGGAGUAUUGUGAGAUGGUUGAGGGGAGUGAUGAGGUAGAGUGGAUGGUUUGGUGGAGCAAGACAGUCGCCGUGAGGAGCGUGUUUUGCGGAGAUACGCAAUGUGUCUCCAGUGCGCAUCCACAGCCCGGUACGUUCUGUGCCAGCUCCUCGCACUUGCCGUGCGGACGUGAGCACCCAGCCAGGAUGGGUUGUGCCGGCUCAGCGCUCCCGGUCUCCAGUACGCCUCCUCGGUCCAGGAUAUCCUGUGCCGGCUCUACGCACUGUUUGCCAGUGCGCCUUCACAGCCCAAUGCGCCCUGUGCCAGCGCCCCGCACUAAAGGGAGCAUCCAGCCAGGACGCGUUGUGCCAGCUCUACGCUCCAGACCUCCAGUGCGUCUCCACGGUCCAGUAUAUCCUGCGCCGGCUCUACGCACUGUGUGUCCUGUGCCAGCGCCCCGCACUAGCCAGGCUAAAAUGAGCAUCCAGCCAGGAUGCGUUGUGCCAGCUUUACGCUCCAGACCUCCAAUGCGCCUCCACGGCCCAGUAUAUCCUGUGCUGGCCAUACGUACUCUGUCUUCAGUGUGCCUCCACAGUCCAGUACGCCCUGUGCCUCCUCCCCGCACUCGCCCUGAGGUGCAUGUCAUCAGCCCGGUGCCACCUGUACCGGUCCCACGCAUCAGGCCUCCAGUGCGCCUCCACAGUCCAGAGCUUCCAGCGACAGUUCCCAGUCCGGAACUUCCGGCGACAGUUCCCAGUCCGAAGCUUCCGGCGACGUUUCACACUCCGGAGCUUCCGGCGAUGUUUCCCAGUCCGGAGCUUCCGGCAACGUUUCCCAGUCCGGAGCUUCCGGCAACGUUUCCCAGUCCGGAGCUUCCGGCAACGUUCCCCAGUCCGGAGCUUCCGGCGACGUUUCCCAGUCCGAAACCUCCUGAGACCGUCCACAGUCUGGAGCAUCUGGCGACAGUCCGGAGUCUCCGGCGGUGGUCCGAAGUCGGUCUGCAGUCUGGAGUCUCCAGCGGCGGUCCGCAGUCUGGAGUUUCCGGCGGCGGUCGGCAGUCCGAUCCAAAAUGGAUGGUGUUGAGAGAUAGAUGGCAGGGGUUGAAUGGGGCUGAAGGGUGGGACUAA